RNAcentral lists this ribosomal RNA (1679 nucleotides) under Salmonella enterica. RNAcentral's name for it is "partial 23S ribosomal RNA". It matches the Rfam family "Bacterial large subunit ribosomal RNA", at positions 1141 to 2803 of the family's 2925-position model. Lineage: Bacteria; Pseudomonadati; Pseudomonadota; Gammaproteobacteria; Enterobacterales; Enterobacteriaceae. The record is from RNAcentral.
CUCACUGGUCGAGUCGGCCUGCGCGGAAGAUGUAACGGGGCUAAACCAUGCACCGAAGCUGCGGCAGCGACACUGUGUGUUGUUGGGUAGGGGAGCGUUCUGUAAGCCUGUGAAGGUGGCCUGUGAGGGUUGCUGGAGGUAUCAGAAGUGCGAAUGCUGACAUAAGUAACGAUAAAGCGGGUGAAAAGCCCGCUCGCCGGAAGACCAAGGGUUCCUGUCCAACGUUAAUCGGGGCAGGGUGAGUCGACCCCUAAGGCGAGGCCGAAAGGCGUAGUCGAUGGGAAACGGGUUAAUAUUCCCGUACUUGGUGUUACUGCGAAGGGGGGACGGAGAAGGCUAUGUUGGCCGGGCGACGGUUGUCCCGGUUUAAGCGUGUAGGUGUGUGUUCCAGGUAAAUCCGGUUCACUUUAACACUGAGGCGUGACGACGAGGCACUACGGUGCUGAAGCAACAAAUGCCCUGCUUCCAGGAAAAGCCUCUAAGCAUCAGGUAACAUCAAAUCGUACCCCAAACCGACACAGGUGGUCAGGUAGAGAAUACCAAGGCGCUUGAGAGAACUCGGGUGAAGGAACUAGGCAAAAUGGUGCCGUAACUUCGGGAGAAGGCACGCUGACACGUAGGUGAAGUGAUUUACUCACGGAGCUGAAGUCAGUCGAAGAUACCAGCUGGCUGCAACUGUUUAUUAAAAACACAGCACUGUGCAAACACGAAAGUGGACGUAUACGGUGUGACGCCUGCCCGGUGCCGGAAGGUUAAUUGAUGGGGUCAGCGCAAGCGAAGCUCCUGAUCGAAGCCCCGGUAAACGGCGGCCGUAACUAUAACGGUCCUAAGGUAGCGAAAUUCCUUGUCGGGUAAGUUCCGACCUGCACGAAUGGCGUAAUGAUGGCCAGGCUGUCUCCACCCGAGACUCAGUGAAAUUGAACUCGCUGUGAAGAUGCAGUGUACCCGCGGCAAGACGGAAAGACCCCGUGAACCUUUACUAUAGCUUGACACUGAACAUUGAGCCUUGAUGUGUAGGAUAGGUGGGAGGCUUUGAAGCGUGGACGCCAGUCUGCGUGGAGCCGACCUUGAAAUACCACCCUUUAAUGUUUGAUGUUCUAACGUGGACCCGUGAUCCGGGUUGCGGACAGUGUCUGGUGGGUAGUUUGACUGGGGCGGUCUCCUCCUAAAGAGUAACGGAGGAGCACGAAGGUUGGCUAAUCCUGGUCGGACAUCAGGAGGUUAGUGCAAUGGCAUAAGCCAGCUUGACUGCGAGCGUGACGGCGCGAGCAGGUGCGAAAGCAGGUCAUAGUGAUCCGGUGGUUCUGAAUGGAAGGGCCAUCGCUCAACGGAUAAAAGGUACUCCGGGGAUAACAGGCUGAUACCGCCCAAGAGUUCAUAUCGACGGCGGUGUUUGGCACCUCGAUGUCGGCUCAUCACAUCCUGGGGCUGAAGUAGGUCCCAAGGGUAUGGCUGUUCGCCAUUUAAAGUGGUACGCGAGCUGGGUUUAGAACGUCGUGAGACAGUUCGGUCCCUAUCUGCCGUGGGCGCUGGAGAACUGAGGGGGGCUGCUCCUAGUACGAGAGGACCGGAGUGGACGCAUCACUGGUGUUCGGGUUGUCAUGCCAAUGGCACUGCCCGGUAGCUAAAUGCGGAAGAGAUAAGUGCUGAAAGCAUCUAAGCACGAAACUUGCCCCGAG